UAGGGAAUCUUCGGCAAUGGACGAAAGUCUGACCGAGCAACGCCGCGUGAGUGAAGAAGGUUUUCGGAUCGUAAAACUCUGUUGUUAGAGAAGAACAAGGACGUUAGUAACUGAACGUCCCCUGACGGUAUCUAACCAGAAAGCCACGGCUAACUACGUGCCAGCAGCCGCGGUAAUACGUAGGUGGCAAGCGUUGUCCGGAUUUAUUGGGCGUCAAGCGAUCGCAGGCGGUUUCUUAAGUCUGAUGUGAAAGCCCCCGGCUCAACCGGGGAGGGUCAUUGGAAGCUGUGAGACUUGAGUGCAGAAGAGGAGAGUGGAAUUCCAUGUGUGGCGGUGAAAUGCGUAGAUAUAUGGAGGAACACCAGUGGCGAAGGCGGCUCUCUGGUCUGUAACUGACGCUGAGGCUCGAAAGCGUGGGGAGCAAACAGG
This 429-nucleotide ribosomal RNA is filed under the name Gemmatimonadota bacterium. RNAcentral describes it as "Gemmatimonadetes bacterium partial 16S ribosomal RNA". It matches the Rfam family "Bacterial small subunit ribosomal RNA", at positions 355 to 776 of the family's 1533-position model. Lineage: Bacteria; Pseudomonadati; Gemmatimonadota. The record is from RNAcentral.